CCUACGGGCGGCAGCAGUGGGGAAUAUUGGACAAUGGGGGGAACCCUGAUCCAGCCAUGCCGCGUGUGUGAAGAAGGCCCUCGGGUUGUAAAGCACUUUCAGUGAGGAAGAACGCCUGGUGGUUAAUACCCAUCAGGAAAGACAUCACUCACAGAAGAAGCACCGGCUAACUCCGUGCCAGCAGCCGCGGUAAUACGGAGGGGGCGAGCGUUAAUCGGAAUUACUGGGCGUAAAGCGCGCGUAGGUGGCUUGAUAAGCCGGUUGUGAAAGCCCCGGGCUCAACCUGGGAACGGCAUCCGGAACUGUCAAGCUAGAGUGCAGGAGAGGAAGGUAGAAUUCCCGGUGUAGCGGUGAAAUGCGUAGAGAUCGGGAGGAAUACCAGUGGCGAAGGCGGCCUUCUGGACUGACACUGACACUGAGGUGCGAAAGCGUGGGUAGCAAACAGGAUUAGAUACCCGUGUAGUC
Molecule: ribosomal RNA, 465 nt
Filed under: Vreelandella stevensii
Lineage: Bacteria; Pseudomonadati; Pseudomonadota; Gammaproteobacteria; Oceanospirillales; Halomonadaceae
Description: partial 16S ribosomal RNA
Rfam family: Bacterial small subunit ribosomal RNA
Source: RNAcentral